This 836-nucleotide ribosomal RNA is filed under the name uncultured marine archaeon. RNAcentral describes it as "bacterial SSU rRNA". It matches the Rfam family "Archaeal small subunit ribosomal RNA", at positions 25 to 869 of the family's 1478-position model. The record is from RNAcentral.
GCCCGAAAUCGGAUUGACUACGCCAUGCGAGUCAUUGUAGUAAUACAAGGCAGACGGCUCAGUAACGCGUAGUCAAUCUAACCUAUGGACGGGAAUAACCUCGGGAAACUGAGUAUAAUGCCCGAUAGAACAUUAUGCCUGGAAUGGUUUAUGUUCCAAAUGAUUUAUCGCCGUAGGAUGGGACUGCGGCCUAUCAGUUUGUUGGUGAGGUAAUGGCCCACCAAGACUAUUACAGGUACGGGCUCUGAGAGGAGUAGCCCGGAGAUGGGUACUGAGACACGGACCCAGGCCCUAUGGGGCGCAGCAGGCGAGAAAACUUUGCAAUGUGCGAAAGCACGACAAGGUUAAUCCGAGUGGUUUCUGCUAAAGGAACCUUUUGUCGGUCCUAGAAACACCGAUGAAUAAGGGGUGGGCAAGUUCUGGUGUCAGCCGCCGCGGUAAAACCAGCACCUCAAGUGGUCAGGAUGAUUAUUGGGCCUAAAGCAUCCGUAGCCGGCUCUGUAAGUUUUCGGUUAAAUCUGUACGCUCAACGUACAGGCUGCCGGGAAUACUGCAGAGCUAGGGAGUGGGAGAGGUAGACGGUACUCGGUAGGAAGGGGUAAAAUCCUUUGAUCUAUUGAUGACCACCUGUGGCGAAGGCGGUCUACCAGAACACGUCCGACGGUGAGGGAUGAAAGCUGGGGGAGCAAACCGGAUUAGAUACCCGGGUAGUCCCAGCUGUAAACUAUGCAAACUCAGUGAUGCAUUGGCUUGUGGCCAAUGCAGUGCUGCAGGGAAGCCGUUAAGUUUGCCGCCUGGGAAGUACGUACGCAAGUAUGAAACUCAAAUGAAUUGAC